UGUUAUACUGAUUCCGGCUUCCACGUC
This 27-nucleotide small RNA is filed under the name Bombyx mori (domestic silkworm). RNAcentral's name for it is "ovarian small RNA-36045". The record is from RNAcentral. Lineage: Eukaryota; Metazoa; Arthropoda; Insecta; Lepidoptera; Bombycidae.